CUUGCCAGGGAACUACGAGCCGAAGCUUAAAACCCAAAGGACUUGGCGGUGCUUUAGACCCCCCUAGAGGAGCCUGUUCUAGAACCGAUGACCCCCGUUCAACCCUACCCUUUCUUGCUACAGUUCAGUCCUUAUACCUCCGUUGUCAGCGUACCCUCUGAGGGAACUCCAAAGUAGGCAUAAUUGAUAAUUUUAUCCAAAACGACAGGUCGAGGUGACGCUCACGAAAGGGAAUGAAAUGGGCUACAUUCACUGCCUCAGUGAACACGAACAAUGCAUUUGAAAUAAGCAUUUAAAGGUGGAUUUAGCAGUAAGAGGGAAGUAGAGUGCCCCUCUGAAGCCCGGCCCUGAAGCGCGUACACACCGCCCGUCACUCUCCCCAAAAACACACCCCAUGUUUAAAUAAACAAACAAAAAUAGAAAGGGGAGGUAAGUCGUAACAUGGUAAGUGUACUGGAAAGUGUACUUGGAAAAAAAU
This 478-nucleotide ribosomal RNA is filed under the name Pseudapocryptes sp. NRM 52068. RNAcentral describes it as "partial 12S ribosomal RNA". It matches the Rfam family "Bacterial small subunit ribosomal RNA", at positions 868 to 1533 of the family's 1533-position model. Lineage: Eukaryota; Metazoa; Chordata; Actinopteri; Gobiiformes; Gobiidae. The record is from RNAcentral.